RNAcentral lists this ribosomal RNA (253 nucleotides) under uncultured bacterium. RNAcentral's name for it is "partial 16S ribosomal RNA". It matches the Rfam family "Bacterial small subunit ribosomal RNA", at positions 524 to 776 of the family's 1533-position model. The record is from RNAcentral.
UACGAAGGGGACUAGCGUUGUUCGGAAUUACUGGGCGUAAAGCGCACGCAGGCGGAUUGAUUAGUCGGGGGUGAAAUCCCGGGGCUCAACCCCGGAACUGCCUUUGAUACUGGGUGUCUCGAGUCCGGAAGAGGUGAGUGGAACUCCGAGUGUAGAGGUGAAAUUCGUAGAUAUUCGGAGGAACACCAGUGGCGAAGGCGGCUCACUGGUCCGGUACUGACGCUGAGGUGCGAAAGCGUGGGGAGCAAACAGG